CAGGUCGCCCGUGUCUGUUGACAUACAUCCAUACCUGUGCUCACCUGUGUGGACUCCGGGCUUGUAACCAUGGGAGCCAUCAAAUCGCUGUGGCAAGAAUUUCCGACGAAACGUGUUACAAUUAUAGGGCUUCUUAUAGCGACAGCAGCUAUCGGCGGCAGCACCAGGCAACCUUUUUUCCCGUUCCUCACGCACGACUUCUUCCCUUACCUGAACAGUAACCAGAUAGGCUAUUACACCGGGUUCCUGACAAGUGCGACCUUCUUUGGUACUUUUCUCGGCUGUUUUGUG
Long non-coding RNA from Branchiostoma belcheri (Belcher's lancelet), 291 nucleotides. RefSeq lists it as uncharacterized. NCBI's taxonomy places the organism in Eukaryota, Metazoa, Chordata, Leptocardii, Amphioxiformes, Branchiostomatidae. The transcript is spliced from 3 exons. The record is from RefSeq and is a predicted model, not a curated record.